Molecule: unclassified non-coding RNA, 281 nt
Filed under: Hevea brasiliensis (rubber tree)
Lineage: Eukaryota; Viridiplantae; Streptophyta; Magnoliopsida; Malpighiales; Euphorbiaceae
Source: RNAcentral
GUCGGGGUCCAGGAUUGCAUCUUACAAGUCAUCGUCACUUAUAGACAACGGAAGCUGUUCACUCCCAGUUGUCACUAACUCUUGCAUCAUCAUGAAAGCAUUGCUAACUAUUGCAUUAGCAACGUGAAGUCGGUUCAUCUCAUUUUGUCAUGGUGGAAGCGGGAGGAGUCAUCCAUUAAGUACUGUCAUUUAUACAGAGCUGGGUCAGUCGGUUUCGAAUGUAUCUCUGAUUUGAGAUAAAUGCCCAGCCUAGAGGGGCUUUACCUUUAUGUGGGUCUGGG